This is a small nuclear RNA of Cavia aperea (Brazilian guinea pig), 104 nucleotides long. Lineage: Eukaryota; Metazoa; Chordata; Mammalia; Rodentia; Caviidae. The record is from Ensembl.
GUGCUCGCUGCGGCAGCACAUAUACUAAAAUUGGAAUACAGAGAAGAUUAGCACCGGCCCUGUGCAAGGACGACAUGCAAAUUCGUGAAGCGUUCCAUACUUUU